AUUAAGCAUAUCAAUAAGCGGAGGAAAAGAAACCAACAGGGAUUGCCUUAGUAACGGCGAGUGAAGCGGCAAAAGCUCAAAUUUGAAAUCUGGCGCCUUCGGCGUCCGAGUUGUAAUUUGAAGAAGGCUACUUUGGGGCUGGAGUUUGUCUAAGUUCCUUGGAACAGGACGUCACAGAGGGUGAGAAUCCCGUGAGAUAAGCUUCCCAGUUCUAUGUAAAGUGCUUUCGAAGAGUCGAGUUGUUUGGGAAUGCAGCUCUAAGUGGGUGGUAAAUUCCAUCUAAAGCUAAAUAUUGGCGAGAGACCGAUAGCGAACAAGUACAGUGAUGGAAAGAUGAAAAGAACUUUGAAAAGAGAGUGAAAAAGUACGUGAAAUUGUUGAAAGGGAAGGGCUUGAGAUCAGACAUGGUAUUUUGUAAACCUUCUCUCUCGUGGAGGGGGCCCCUUGCAGUUUACUGGGCCAGCAUCAGUUUGGGCGGUAGGAUAAUGACUAAGGAAUGUGACUUGCCUUCGGGGAAGUGUUAUAGCCUUGGUUGAUACUGCCAGCCUAGACUGAGGACCGCGUCUUUGACAAGGAUGUUGGCAUAAUGAUCUUAAGCCACCCGUCUUG
RNAcentral lists this ribosomal RNA (609 nucleotides) under Millerozyma farinosa. RNAcentral's name for it is "LSU rRNA". It matches the Rfam family "Eukaryotic large subunit ribosomal RNA", at positions 33 to 656 of the family's 3401-position model. Lineage: Eukaryota; Fungi; Ascomycota; Pichiomycetes; Serinales; Debaryomycetaceae. The record is from RNAcentral.